GACGAACGCUGGCGGCGCGCCUAACACAUGCAAGUCGAACGAGCGAGAGAGAGCUUACUUUCUCGAGCGAGUGGCGAACGGGUGAGUAACGCGUGAGGAACCUGCCUCAAAGAGGGGGACAACAGUUGGAAACGACUGCUAAUACCGCAUAAGCCCACGGCUCGGCAUCGAGCAGAGGGAAAAGGAGCAAUCCGCUUUGAGAUGGCCUCGCGUCCGAUUAGCUAGUUGGUGAGGUAACGGCCCACCAAGGCGACGAUCGGUAGCCGGACUGAGAGGUUGAACGGCCACAUUGGGACUGAGACACGGCCCAGACUCCUACGGGAGGCAGCAGUGGGGAAUAUUGCACAAUGGGGGAAACCCUGAUGCAGCGACGCCGCGUGGAGGAAGAAGGUCUUCGGAUUGUAAACUCCUGUUGUUGAGGAAGAUAAUGACGGUACUCAACAAGGAAGUGACGGCUAACUACGUGCCAGCAGCCGCGGUAAAACGUAGGUCACAAGCGUUGUCCGGAAUUACUGGGUGUAAAGGGAGCGCAGGCGGGAAGACAAGUUGGAAGUGAAAUCCAUGGGCUCAACCCAUGAACUGCUUUCAAAACUGUUUUUCUUGAGUAGUGCAGAGGUAGGCGGAAUUCCCGGUGUAGCGGUGGAAUGCGUAGAUAUCGGGAGGAACACCAGUGGCGAAGGCGGCCUACUGGGCACCAACUGACGCUGAGGCUCGAAAGUGUGGGUAGCAAACAGGAUUAGAUACCCUGGUAGUCCACACUGUAAACGAUGAUUACUAGGUGUUGGAGGAUUGACCCCUUCAGUGCCGCAGUUAACACAAUAAGUAAUCCACCUGGGGAGUACGACCGCAAGGUUGAAACUCAAAGGAAUUGACGGGGGCCCGCACAAGCAGUGGAGUAUGUGGUUUAAUUCGACGCAACGCGAAGAACCUUACCAAGUCUUGACAUCCUGCGACGCACAUAGAAAUAUGUGUUUCCUUCGGGACGCAGAGACAGGUGGUGCAUGGUUGUCGUCAGCUCGUGUCGUGAGAUGUUGGGUUAAGUCCCGCAACGAGCGCAACCCUUAUGGUCAGUUACUACGCAAGAGGACUCUGGCCAGACUGCCGUUGACAAAACGGAGGAAGGUGGGGAUGACGUCAAAUCAUCAUGCCCUUUAUGACUUGGGCUACACACGUACUACAAUGGCGUUAAACAAAGAGAAGCAAGACCGCGAGGUGGAGCAAAACUCAGAAACAACGUCCCAGUUCGGACUGCAGGCUGCAACUCGCCUGCACGAAGUCGGAAUUGCUAGUAAUCGCAGAUCAGCAUGCUGCGGUGAAUACGUUCCCGGGCCU
RNAcentral lists this ribosomal RNA (1332 nucleotides) under uncultured bacterium. Its description in RNAcentral is "bacterial SSU rRNA". It matches the Rfam family "Bacterial small subunit ribosomal RNA", at positions 28 to 1381 of the family's 1533-position model. The record is from RNAcentral.